This 506-nucleotide ribosomal RNA is filed under the name uncultured bacterium. RNAcentral describes it as "partial 16S ribosomal RNA". It matches the Rfam family "Bacterial small subunit ribosomal RNA", at positions 28 to 523 of the family's 1533-position model. The record is from RNAcentral.
GACGAACGCUGGCGGCAUGCCUAAUACAUGCAAGUCGAGCGAACAGAUGAAGUGCUUGCACUUCUGACGUUAGCGGCGAACGGGUGAGUAACACGUAAGGAAUCUACCUAUAAGCGGGGGAUAACAUUCGGAAACGGGUGCUAAUACCGCAUAAGCUCACGAUGUGCAAAUCCUCGUGAGAAAAGAUUUAUUGCUUUGAGAGGGGCCUGUGUCCGAUUAGCUUGUUGGUGGGGUAAUGGCCUACCAAGGCUGUGAUCGGUAGAUGGACUGAGAGGUUGACCAUCCACACUGGAACUGAGACACGGUCCAGACUCCUACGGGAGGCAGCAGUAGGGAAUCUUCCGCAAUGGACGAAAGUCUGACGGAGCAACGCCGCGUGAGUGAAGAAGGUUUUCGGAUCGUAAAACUCUGUUGUCAGAGAAGAACAAGUCGGAGAGUAACUGCUCCGGCCUUGACGGUAUCUGACCAGAAAGCCACGGCUAACUACGUGCCAGCCGCCGCAGUAA